Molecule: ribosomal RNA, 476 nt
Filed under: uncultured organism
Description: partial 16S ribosomal RNA
Rfam family: Bacterial small subunit ribosomal RNA
Source: RNAcentral
CACUCCUGCGGGAGGCAGCAGUGGGGAAUUUUGGACAAUGGGCGAAAGCCUGAUCCAGCAAUGCCGCGUGUGUGAAGAAGGCCUUCGGGUUGUAAAGCACUUUUGUCCGGAAAGAAAUCCUUGGCUCUAAUACAGUCGGGGGAUGACGGUACCGGAAGAAUAAGCACCGGCUAACUACGUGCCAGCAGCCGCGGUAAUACGUAGGGUGCGAGCGUUAAUCGGAAUUACUGGGCGUAAAGCGUGCGCAGGCGGUUUGCUAAGACCGAUGUGAAAUCCCCGGGCUCAACCUGGGAACUGCAUUGGUGACUGGCAGGCUAGAGUAUGGCAGAGGGGGGUAGAAUUCCACGUGUAGCAGUGAAAUGCGUAGAGAUGUGGAGGAAUACCGAUGGCGAAGGCAGCCCCCUGGGCCAAUACUGACGCUCAUGCACGAAAGCGUGGGGAGCAAACAGGAUUAGAUACCCUUGUAGUCCCAUGAU